CCUACGGGUGGCAGCAGUGGGGAAUAUUGGGCAAUGGGCGCAAGCCUGACCCAGCAACGCCGCGUGAAGGAAGAAGGCUUUCGGGUUGUAAACUUCUUUUCUCAGGGACGAAGCAAGUGACGGUACCUGAGGAAUAAGCCACGGCUAACUACGUGCCAGCAGCCGCGGUAAUACGUAGGUGGCAAGCGUUAUCCGGAUUUACUGGGUGUAAAGGGCGUGUAGGCGGGAAAGCAAGUUAGAUGGGAAAACCAUGGGCUCAACCUGUUGCCUGCUUUUGAAACUGGUUUUCUUGAGUAGUGGAGAGGCAGACGGAAUUACUAGUGUAGCGGUGAAAUGCGUAGAGAUUAGGAGGAACACCAGUGGCGAAGGCGGUCUGCUGGACAGCAACUGACGCUGAGGCGCGAAAGCGUGGGGAGCAAACAGGAUUAGAUACCCGAGGAGUC
RNAcentral lists this ribosomal RNA (443 nucleotides) under uncultured bacterium. RNAcentral describes it as "partial 16S ribosomal RNA". It matches the Rfam family "Bacterial small subunit ribosomal RNA", at positions 338 to 795 of the family's 1533-position model. The record is from RNAcentral.